ACCUAUGAAGUUCCAUAGCUUUGAUGAGAGAGACGGAGAGAUGGAGAGGAGAGAGGAGGAGAGAGGGAAGAAGAAAACAUCAGGGAGCGGACGUCUGAAAGCACUGCCAAUAAGGAAUCAAUGGAUGCUGCAGAUCCCAGGCCCGAACAAAAGAUGUCAGAGAAACAAACUGUUUUCUCCGGCAAGCCAGACAAUCGAUUCAAGGGGCCCCAUUGUUCUAAAAGGGAACCGACAAUGAAGCCACUCCCCAUGUCAAAGACCCAGACAACCCCUCGCCCACCGAGCUCCACCAUAGGACCUGCAGAGAACCUGCUCUCAGCUGCUCUGCCUUCCCACCACUAGAGGGAGUACCUCACAGGCCAGUGCUGCUGAGACCACCAGUCCCUGCCACAGAAGAAGAGUAGAGUAGCUCUGAGGAAACUGCCUGGCUGGUCCCUCUGUUAAGGAUUCAGCUCAACGAGCUUGUGUGGAGGAGGAAGGGGAGCAGUGCUGGUGAUACUGGGCUCUGUGGUGGGCUUGUGCCAAGAGCAGCUAUCGCCUCUUAGGUGGCUUGGAGGCCUGGCAGGAUCCUUGGUUCCAGACACCUGUGCUCAGAUAGAAAAGAAUGGAAAAUACAAAGCAGUCCACUCUACUCGAAAAAGAAAUGUUGUGCUUCAUAGGCUUUUCUGGUACAUAAGGACCUCUUAUUUAAUCAUUUAAUCAAGGAGAGAAGAUGACAAGGAGAGAAGAUGAUUUUAAAAAAAGAAGAAAAAAAGAGGUUAUAUUGACGAAAUGUUGGUGAUGUUGACUGGGACGCCUCGGAUGUCCUCUCCACGGUUUGCUCUGUUUCUAUCUCUACAUUCCAGAAUGGAAAGGCCCUCCCUACGUUUCUGAAUGCCAACUUCUCGCUCUCAGUUCGUCUUCACCUUACUUUCUCUCCACUUGCGAUGCGGUAACCAAGUGUACUAUAGUGGAUUUAGGAAUUUGGAAUGCAUGGAACUUUAUAUCCAAGACCUCACACUGUUCGCCAUUUCAACCACAGAGGCCAUAAGACAUUGGUAACAUGAAUAAUGAGAUGGAUACAAUACUAAAGGUCUGAGAGAUUUUUUGGGAAAUGAUGUCCAAGAAGGAUCAACAGCGGGUCUGGCCACGAGAUAGGAGGACGGUAGUAAGGUUUAGGUGGCUUACUAAGAGCUGGAAGAAGCUGGAUAGUUUUUUAGCCAUUACAAAGCCAUUAAGACAACAUUUACACAACACUGGUGGAACCAUGUUUUUUUCUCAAUCAGCCCACAAUUUGUGGGUCUUAAAUGUUUGAUGUUGUUGUUCUUGUUUAUUUUUCUACUACAGUUAUUUUGUUGUUCAUAGCAACAUCGCCUUAAUCAUUCCAUCGUUUGUUUAUUUGAAGAGUAAAGUGACAUAUUUUUUUACCCAGGUUUGUUUACCCAUAAAGCUUAUUUUCAUUGCACUUUUUUAACGUAAUAAUAAUGUCAGCUGAAACUCUGACUGUGAGAUUAAUUUGUAUUUUUGAGAUUAUAUUUUGAUUCACUUUAUGUUUGUAUUUAUUUAUAUAUUAUUUAUUUUUUCAUUUCAUAUUAUGGUGUUAAUACCAUCCAUGGAGCUAUUUAUGUAUUUAUUUAUUGUUUUCAAUAACAAAAAGCAAUAGUGUGCGUAGGGAAGGCAGUAAAGAGCACAAUCUUGUGUCAUUUCAACUAGUGGUCAGGAAUGUGUUGCCUCUUGUUUGUAUAUUUGAACUGUGCAAUGUUCUGCUAUCACAUCAACAGGGCCCUAAAGCAGAGUUUGGUACCGUCCGCAUACAGCUCGUCAUAUCAGCCAAUGAUUAGACAAGCCUAGUUUUAUCAGCCAAUCGGGACGGGAUGAGGAAGCACUGUAAGACAGCAGAGAGGCACUGUACACAGAAUAGUGUGUGUGUCAUCACCAUGGGAUUUGACUUGAAAAUAGCUUCAACCUCUGUUUGCGAUUGUCACCUCUGGCUUUUAGUUUGAGUCUGUUGCCUUUUAGUUUUAUUUCAUGCUGGCACCUGAACCGUGAACCGCAACGUUCUAUUGGAUAGCUGUCAUGGAAACUUCUCAGGUCAGUGUACUUCCUGCUGUUGUUUGCAGUGCAUCGUGGGAAACUGGGUCUGGUACUAAAAUGCUCUGGAGGCCCUACACGCUCCUGCUGUACAGUGUGUCUCUCUCUGUGAAGGCCGGGAUCUACGCAUGCCCCGGGGAACCUCACAGUCUUUUGUUCCCUUUCCUGAUGUCUGUUUGUACGUACUGUAGGUACAGUAUGUAUGUGUGUGUGAGUACUGUGUAUGUGUGUAUUCAACUCAUCAUCCAAUGACAAAAAAGGAAUAUAAUAAUGAUAACAGUAAUAAUGUUAAAAACAACCGCGUUUCAAAAGAAACCUCCCAUCUCCAACGUUCUAUGCAAUGAAUCAUGCGAAUAAGAAUGAUUGAAAAGGGACGACAGCCAACUGGAUAAACCACAACCAUUGUUUAUCAAGCCUGAGGCCACAUAAGGUUGUUUUAGC
Molecule: long non-coding RNA, 2511 nt
Organism: Hypomesus transpacificus
Lineage: Eukaryota; Metazoa; Chordata; Actinopteri; Osmeriformes; Osmeridae
Exons: 3
Source: RefSeq, a predicted model, not a curated record